AUCUAUGGCUAUACUACCCUCAACAAGCCCAAUGUCUGAUCUCAGAAGCUAAGCAGGGUUGGGCCUGAUUAGUACUUGGAUGGGAGACCAACUAGGAAGACCAGGUGCUAUAAGUA
RNAcentral lists this ribosomal RNA (116 nucleotides) under Pteropus alecto (black flying fox). Lineage: Eukaryota; Metazoa; Chordata; Mammalia; Chiroptera; Pteropodidae. The record is from RNAcentral.